UUUUUCUUACAGCAGACAUGUGAUGUUACUGGCUGCGUGUUAACUCUUUAUUGGAGAAAAGACAAAUCUUCCCUGACCUUUAAUCAGUUUAUUGCACCUGUUGAGGUCAAAGAUGAAACACAUCAGUGCUUUAACACCCCCCCUGGACAAGGCUUAGAGACGGUGCAGGACUCAGCCUUCCCUCUUAGGAUGUCCAUAAAUGAUCUUUGGAUGGUUCCUUCAGUGCAAAUGUUUGACUAUUUUGGACCUUCUGAAAACAGAAAUUUGGAGAAAUUGUACAUUAUGUGUAGUGUUGCUGGCAACAACAUCAGAAACCUUGACAGCAUGUCUUUAUCCAGUCUUCCUUCUCUCACCCCAACCGGUCGCAGCAGAUGGCCCCGCCCCUCCCUGAGCCUGCUUCUGCUGGAGGUUUCUUCCUGUUGGAAGGGAGUUUUUUCUCAGCUCUUCCCAGGAGGGUGGCACGGUUCCCCCCCUUUGGUGGUCCUCCUCGGGUCCUUGUACUCUGGGGCCUCUGGAUGUCUGGAGUUUUGAUCUCCUCCAUACCUGCUUCAUACCCUGGUGGACGGGGCUGUGGCCCCCCCACACCCUCUAGCUGAUCGUUACAUGGAGAAACCUUUGGAAUACAAGCAUGCUGAUCCACACAGGUAUGCACACAGGUGUACACACGGGUAUUCACAGACGCGGACUACACCUUUCUUGGCUGCUGCCUCAAAGCACAUUGUGCGCUGUCUAUCUUGCGUGCUGCACAAUAUCGUUUAAUAUUUAGUAUUUACUGUUAUCUACUGCUAGCUAGCUUAUUGUGAUGGUGCUGUUUUUAUCAUGUUGCUCUUUUUUGUUUGUUUUCUCUUCUGGUUUUUUUUUCUCCAUACAGGUGAUCCAGGUGCUUUGUUUGUUUUUCUUUCUUUCUUCCCCCCUUUCUCACCGUCUCUUUCUUUCAUUCUUUCUCCCUGUCCUAUCCCCCAGUCAUGUCUGUCCCGUUUGUAGCAACUGAAAAUAAAAUAAAAUAAAUACAUAAUUAUAAUAAAGGUCAAUCAAAUGGACCAAUAUGCCAAGGCCAUGAUGAUCCACUUGGUAAAGUAAAUCUGCUUGGCAUCUUUCUUGGCCUUAAGACAACAAUUCUGAUGGCUAAAGACAAAAAAAAAAAAAAAAAUGUUGUUUUAUGUGUGACUCCUCCCACCAGAGGAUGGCUGUGGGGUUUUUCCCCUCUCUCUUAGGAGGUGGACACCUGGGCGUGCCUGCUGAGUAGCUGGGUGGAGUCUCUUCAUGUCCUGGGAUUGGAUAAUUGGUUGAUCACCUCCAGUACUUAACUACCGGAUCACAGCCACUUGGCCCCCGAUCUACUAGCUGCCACCAUCCAACAAAGAGCAUGUGUUUUUGAGUCGUAGAGUGUCUUUGCCCAUUGAUUUGCAAGUAUAACCGUGUGUGUGUGUGUGUGUGUCUGGUGUUAGUAUCUUCAUUUUGUAAAUAGCUGUAAUAGAUUUGUAAAGCAGCAAUUGUGUAUUUUGUUCACCUUGUAUAUAUUCUUCGCUGCAGCAGCCUAGUAGGCGUGAGAAGCCGUUUUUGUUGAUUGAGUUUUCUCCUGUUUUUCAUUUAGAAAGUUAGGUAAGUGAAUUGUCUUUUGUUUGGUUUUCAUUUGUAUAGGAAAGCGUAGGGACCAUUAGGGAGUUUUGUUUGUUAUUUUUGGCACUGCUCACUGCUGAAGCAAAUAAAUGGCUGCUUAGCACUUUAAAAGAUACGACUGUUUGUGUUCUUGCUUUGGUGGAGCGGGAGUGGGCCAAUUUCUUGUUGCGUUCAAUACACGCCUUGAACGUAGCACCACUGUCGCCAAAGUGCUUCUCACAGGGGGUCAUAUGAUUGUUGGGUUUUUCUCUGUAUGUAUUAUUGUAGGGUCGACCUUACAGUAUAAAGUGCCUUGAUCUCUGUGCUGGGUGGUUACAACAGGACUUCCAGGGAGAAAUCUGCAGACAGCUUUGGCAGGUGACAUAGAGCACAGACAAGGCAAGCUCCUUAAAAUAAAAUAGUCACAUCAGACAUACUAAAUUGUGUUUGUCUAUAGAUUUUACCCAGUGUUGGGGGAACUUUGUGUCAAUACUAAAAAGGGGUCAUACAUUUAUUUAAUUUUCUUUUCUUUUUUUUGUCCUAUUUGCAUUUUUUUUAUUCUUAGAUUAUUUUCUGUAAAACAGUUUGCGAUUUCUGUCUGGAAAAAAAAAACCCUGCACAAAUAAAUACGCAGUAAAUGUUUGUCAUCAUUUCCUACUCAACAUCUUUCUUAGUGACACUUAUCAUUUCAUUAGCAUCAGGCCAUAUUAGAACAUUAUAGAUUAUAAAGCUGUAUGUAAGCAUGUCAUUUUACUGUGAAAUGCACCGUAUACAGAUACUGUAUACGGUGCCGAAAGAACACGCGAACGGUCUUUACACCUGUUGUUGAAGCUACAUCAUUUGAGCUCAAUUACAGCAAGGAAACUUCAAACCUACUGGUUUACGCUGACACAUGGUAUCCUUCAUGGAUGACAGGAUUUUCUUAAGUUUGUCAGUAAAAUCAUCAGAUUUUUUUUGUUUAUUGUGCCAUCUUUGGACACAGGUUUUGUGUUUUCGCUUCGCUUCAUUUUUGCCGAUGACUUGUAGGGGCACAAAUAAUCUGACAAAGGCAAAGGGACA
Molecule: long non-coding RNA, 2658 nt
Organism: Astatotilapia calliptera (eastern happy)
Lineage: Eukaryota; Metazoa; Chordata; Actinopteri; Cichliformes; Cichlidae
Source: Ensembl